RNAcentral lists this ribosomal RNA (198 nucleotides) under uncultured eukaryote. Its description in RNAcentral is "partial 18S ribosomal RNA". It matches the Rfam family "Eukaryotic small subunit ribosomal RNA", at positions 1299 to 1458 of the family's 1831-position model. The record is from RNAcentral.
UGGUGGUUUGAAUUGUCAGGUUAAUUCCGUUAACGAACGAGACCUUAACCUACUAAAUAGUUGAACUAUUUUUAUUGCAGUUACAAGGUGAAAGCCUUGUACCUAGUAGAAAUAUUAGGUUUGUAAUAUAUCUAAAUAGGUUACAACUUCUUUAUGGGACAAUCUGCGUUUAUAGCAGAUGGAAGUAAGACAAUAACA